CGUCUACGUUGAUUGAACUUGUUGUUACCGCUUCCCCGACCGCAUUUGUCGCUUUACACAUGUAAGUACCAGAAUCUUCUCCAUAAGCAUACAGGACAUCCAAUGCCACAUAUCCGAAGUCAUAUGUAGUCUUAAAUCUAUGUCCUUGUUGAAUAGGUCUUCCAUUGCAAUACCAUUCAACACGCAUCGUAGGAUCAUUGACAGGAGUUAAGGUAGCUUCUAGAUGUAUUGGUUGACCUUCCGCUACAUGCGCAUUCUUGAGAGGUUUUCCGAACUGAGGUUUCUCAGCAAUAAAUGCUUCAUCUCUGACAACUCGCUUGUACCUACUAUCAUCUUCAAGGUAUUGAAUUUUUUCUAAACCAGAAGGAUGCUGUGAGUCAAAAAUUAGGUCUUUCUUUGCCAUUACACGUAACGCACACGAUGUGACUGCUUCUCCUAAUUGAUUGGUCGCUUGACAUGUGUAUACUCCGGAGUCUUCUGGGUAGACACUUAAAAGGUCUAAAGCAACGUAAUCAAAUUCAUAGGCCGGUCUAAAUCUGUGACCUGUUUUUAUAGGUCUGCCGUUGCAAAACCAUUCAACUCUCAUUGUAGGAUCACCAACAGGUUGUAAACGGCAUUCUAGGUGCACGUUCGUUCCCUCAACAGUUUCAAUAUUAUGCAGAGCUCUUGAAAAUUGUGGAGCUUGCAUUACAGUUAUAUCUUCUUGCACUUGUUUACUACGACGACUUGCAUCUUCUAGCAUUUGAAUUUGUUCUACAGCUUGCUCAUUUUGAGUCUCGGUCAAAAUAUCCGAUCUUUCAAUAAUUCUCACCAUCGCUGACGUAUGAGCUGAACCUAAGUGAUUUACAGCUCUAACAGUAUAUUCACCUGAAUCAACUGAUGUAGCGUGAAUAAUAUCUAGCGCUACAAAACCAAAAUCGUAGUAAGUUCUGAACCGGGAUCCUACCGUUACGGCUCUUCCGUUGUGGAACCAUUCUACUCUCAUUGUAGGAUCACCCAUUGGCUCUAGUCUACAUUCCAGAUGAAUAUUUUUACCUUCAGAAACGGGCUGUGGGUCCGACAAGGGUUGUACAAAAACUGGUUUAGAUUUUGAGAUUUCUUCUAUGUGGUACAUUGGCUCAACAAAUUUCGAUUCUUCUAUUUGUCGUGUUUUCUCAUAUAAGCCACGAUGAAUGCUCGACGUAUCAAUACUAGAUCGGGCU
This 1202-nucleotide unclassified non-coding RNA is filed under the name Melitaea cinxia (Glanville fritillary). RNAcentral describes it as "misc RNA ENSMCXG00005013883.1". Lineage: Eukaryota; Metazoa; Arthropoda; Insecta; Lepidoptera; Nymphalidae. The record is from RNAcentral.